GGGCCUGUAGCUCAGCUGGCUAGAGCACCACGUUUACACCGUGGGAGUCGUCGGUUCGAAUCCGGCCAGGCCCA
This 74-nucleotide transfer RNA is filed under the name Bifidobacteriaceae bacterium. RNAcentral describes it as "tRNA-Val". It matches the Rfam family "tRNA". From Rfam's summary of the family: Transfer RNA (tRNA) molecules are approximately 80 nucleotides in length. Their secondary structure includes four short double-helical elements and three loops (D, anti-codon, and T loops). Lineage: Bacteria; Bacillati; Actinomycetota; Actinomycetes; Bifidobacteriales; Bifidobacteriaceae. The record is from RNAcentral.